GCUGGUGCGAGAUGGUAGGAGGGGGAACUUUCUCUCCUCUGCCCUAUCAUCCCUGUUGGUGCCGUGCCAGGACCGUAUGACUCCAAGAGCUGUUUGCCGUUGUGCGUGUGCGCGUGGGUGAGCGAGAGACGACGACGACAACUGAACCUCAUUUGCAAUACACAGUUGGUGAGAGCCUUUCUUUCGAUGAUGAUGCACGAGUUAAUCCAUUCUCUGAGUCUCUGUGUGCGUGUGUAUGUGCGCAGGUGCACUGCCGAACUGCGGCGUGACGGGUGCUAGACAUGCGGGGGCUGCUGUGUCGAGGAGCAUGAGCAGUGUGCAGCCGCAAGCAAAGGAGCACGGGGGGACUCCAAACACCGUCUAUUCCCCUGCGUGAUGGAACUGUGACGAGACGGCAUGUGAUGCAACGCCUCCAACGCUGGACCGCACUGCUUGCUGUUUGCACGGGAAGGGGCGGGUGCUGCGGCAUCGUGUGUGUUGGCGUCUGGCACCUGGCGGUGGCUGGAUCGCCAUGUCACCGCACGGGAGAGCUGCCUAUCGGCAUCGCUCAUCCUUGCAGCGCACACGCCUUUGCCCUCACCCUGCUGCCGAGAUGUGGGGCACUGUGAAGACGGUGGAGAACAAAGCACAGCCAUCGGACACAGGGAGGCUGCGCUCGGUGCCUUCCUGUGAUGAAGUCAGGCCGGCGAGAAUGUCGAGAGCCCAGCGCAACGCGCGUCCAUCCCUCCUUGCCGCUCUCCGCGUGUGCCGCAGCUGUGGCGGCGGCAGAGGGAAGGGAGGCAGGCGCGGUGGUGGGGUCUGCAGCUCGUCGUCUUUUCGCGGCGUGUGUGUGUGUGUGUGUGCGACACUUAGCCGCAAACAAAGGAACACGGGGGGACUCCAAACACCGUCUAUUCCCCUGCGUGAUGGAACUGUGGCGAGACGGUGCGUGCGGCGCCGGGCCAGCGUGCUGCCCGCGUGUGUCAGUGUUGUUUUUGUGCGGUGAGCAAAGGGGCUUGGGAUUGGUAGGGGGGUGUCUUCAUGCUUCCACUGCCUUGCUCAUCUACCCUCCUUCACCCCCCUCCCUCCCCCGUGAAUAGGAUUGCGCUGCUGUUCGCUGUGUUGCAUGAUGCGGUUUGUGUCCCGGCUCUCACGAACAAUCCCGCCCGGAGUUUACCAUACUUGAUCUCUUGCGCGGACCUACGGGUGCCCAGAUGCGUGGCGUGUGGUAGGCGGCGCGUACGUGCGCGCGCUGCAACUGCGCCAAAGGGGUCAUUGUCAAAUUCCUUGCAGCGGCUGGUGCGAGAUGGUAGGAGGGGGAACUUUCUCUCCUCUGCCCUAUCAUCCCUGUUGGUGCCGUGCCAGGACCGUAUGACUCCAAGAGCUGUUUGCCGUUGUGCGUGUGCGCGUGGGUGAGCGAGAGACGACGACGACAACUGAACCUCAUUUGCAAUACACAGUUGGUGAGAGCCUUUCUUUCGAUGAUGAUGCACGAGUUAAUCCAUUCUCUGAGUCUCUGUGUGCGUGUGUAUGUGCGCAGGUGCACUGCCGAACUGCGGCGUGACGGGUGCUAGACAUGCGGGGGCUGCUGUGUCGAGGAGCAUGAGCAGUGUGCAGCCGCAAGCAAAGGAGCACGGGGGGACUCCAAACACCGUCUAUUCCCCUGCGUGAUGGAACUGUGACGAGACGGCAUGUGAUGCAACGCCUCCAACGCUGGACCGCACUGCUUGCUGUUUGCACGGGAAGGGGCGGGUGCUGCGGCAUCGUGUGUGUUGGCGUCUGGCACCUGGCGGUGGCUGGAUCGCCAUGUCACCGCACGGGAGAGCUGCCUAUCGGCAUCGCUCAUCCUUGCAGCGCACACGCCUUUGCCCUCACCCUGCUGCCGAGAUGUGGGGCACUGUGAAGACGGUGGAGAACAAAGCACAGCCAUCGGACACAGGGAGGCUGCGCUCGGUGCCUUCCUGUGAUGAAGUCAGGCCGGCGAGAAUGUCGAGAGCCCAGCGCAACGCGCGUCCAUCCCUCCUUGCCGCUCUCCGCGUGUGCCGCAGCUGUGGCGGCGGCAGAGGGAAGGGAGGCAGGCGCGGUGGUGGGGUCUGCAGCUCGUCGUCUUUUCGCGGCGUGUGUGUGUGUGUGUGUGCGACACUUAGCCGCAAACAAAGGAACACGGGGGGACUCCAAACACCGUCUAUUCCCCUGCGUGAUGGAACUGUGGCGAGACGGUGCGUGCGGCGCCGGGCCAGCGUGCUGCCCGCGUGUGUCAGUGUUGUUUUUGUGCGGUGAGCAAAGGGGCUUGGGAUUGGUAGGGGGGUGUCUUCAUGCUUCCACUGCCUUGCUCAUCUACCCUCCUUCACCCCCCUCCCUCCCCCGUGAAUAGGAUUGCGCUGCUGUUCGCUGUGUUGCAUGAUGCGGUUUGUGUCCCGGCUCUCACGAACAAUCCCGCCCGGAGUUUACCAUACUUGAUCUCUUGCGCGGACCUACGGGUGCCCAGAUGCGUGGCGUGUGGUAGGCGGCGCGUACGUGCGCGCGCUGCAACUGCGCCAAAGGGGUCAUUGUCAAAUUCCUUGCAGCGGCUGGUGCGAGAUGGUAGGAGGGGGAACUUUCUCUCCUCUGCCCUAUCAUCCCUGUUGGUGCCGUGCCAGGACCGUAUGACUCCAAGAGCUGUUUGCCGUUGUGCGUGUGCGCGUGGGUGAGCGAGAGACGACGACGACAACUGAACCUCAUUUGCAAUACACAGUUGGUGAGAGCCUUUCUUUCGAUGAUGAUGCACGAGUUAAUCCAUUCUCUGAGUCUCUGUGUGCGUGUGUAUGUGCGCAGGUGCACUGCCGAACUGCGGCGUGACGGGUGCUAGACAUGCGGGGGCUGCUGUGUCGAGGAGCAUGAGCAGUGUGCAGCCGCAAGCAAAGGAGCACGGGGGGACUCCAAACACCGUCUAUUCCCCUGCGUGAUGGAACUGUGACGAGACGGCAUGUGAUGCAACGCCUCCAACGCUGGACCGCACUGCUUGCUGUUUGCACGGGAAGGGGCGGGUGCUGCGGCAUCGUGUGUGUUGGCGUCUGGCACCUGGCGGUGGCUGGAUCGCCAUGUCACCGCACGGGAGAGCUGCCUAUCGGCAUCGCUCAUCCUUGCAGCGCACACGCCUUUGCCCUCACCCUGCUGCCGAGAUGUGGGGCACUGUGAAGACGGUGGAGAACAAAGCACAGCCAUCGGACACAGGGAGGCUGCGCUCGGUGCCUUCCUGUGAUGAAGUCAGGCCGGCGAGAAUGUCGAGAGCCCAGCGCAACGCGCGUCCAUCCCUCCUUGCCGCUCUCCGCGUGUGCCGCAGCUGUGGCGGCGGCAGAGGGAAGGGAGGCAGGCGCGGUGGUGGGGUCUGCAGCUCGUCGUCUUUUCGCGGCGUGUGUGUGUGUGUGUGUGCGACACUUAGCCGCAAACAAAGGAACACGGGGGGACUCCAAACACCGUCUAUUCCCCUGCGUGAUGGAACUGUGGCGAGA
RNAcentral lists this unclassified non-coding RNA (3470 nucleotides) under Leishmania donovani. Its description in RNAcentral is "gene:unknown". The stretch from base 1123 to 1194 matches the Rfam family "Trypanosomatid snoRNA TB11Cs3H1". Lineage: Eukaryota; Euglenozoa; Kinetoplastea; Trypanosomatida; Trypanosomatidae. The record is from RNAcentral.